Molecule: ribosomal RNA, 253 nt
Filed under: uncultured bacterium
Lineage: Bacteria
Description: partial 16S ribosomal RNA
Rfam family: Bacterial small subunit ribosomal RNA
Source: RNAcentral
UACGGAGGAUGCAAGCGUUAUCCGGAAUGAUUGGGCGUAAAGCGUCCGCAGGUGGCAAUGUAAGUCUGCUGUCAAAGCGUCUGGCUCAACCAGAUAAAGGCAGUGGAAACUACAUAGCUAGAGUAAGGUAGGGGUAGAGGGAAUUCCUGGUGUAGCGGUGAAAUGCGUAGAGAUCAGGAAGAACACCGGUGGCGAAAGCACUCUGCUGGGCCGACACUGACACUGAGAGACGAAAGCUAGGGGAGCGAAUGGG